Molecule: long non-coding RNA, 1924 nt
Organism: Macadamia integrifolia
Lineage: Eukaryota; Viridiplantae; Streptophyta; Magnoliopsida; Proteales; Proteaceae
Exons: 2
Source: RefSeq, a predicted model, not a curated record
GCCCGACGGUCCAAGUAGCAGGACUGAGACCAACCGUUUGUAAACGGGCCGGGCUCAAGCCCGACACGAUUAACAAACGAUCCAAGCUGGGCCGGUCUAUAAACGGUCGAAACCGAUCGAUUUAUGAAUUUCCCUUUAAUAAGGAAGAGCUCCUCCCUGUGGAUCUUAAAUCUGUUUGGGAAUCAAUGGAGCAGUGUAAGUAGCUUGGGCUCACCAGAUUUAUUGGAGUCAGCAACUUCACUUGCAAGAAGCUUGAAGAUUUACUUGCUUUGGCCAAGAUCCCUCCAGCAGUCAAUCAAGUGGAGAUGAACCCACUUUAGCAGCACAAGAAGCUGAGCGAGUUCCGUAAGGAAAAGGGAAUACAUAUUACAGCUUACUCACCCUUGGAAGCCAAAGGAACAUAUUGGGGCACUAACAGAGUCAUGGAGUGUGAGGUUCUAAAAUAGAUUGCAGAGGCAAGAGCAAAGACCGUUGCUCGGGGGAUAAUCCAUAUCUUACCGUCCGUCACUGAUUUUUAUAUAUAAUUUGAACUUUCAACAUACUCCGAGGCUUCAAGACCUUUGUGUGAAUGAAGUUAUACAUAAAUUUUCUUUCUACCAAAAAAAGAAAAGAAAAUUUCAACGUCUUGGAUUGGAUUUUUCACUGAUUUUAAUAAUUGACCUUUCAACGUCAUGGAUUGAAUUUUUCAUUGAUUCCAUAGUAUUUGAACACAGCGUUAGGGUCAAAGGUGGACUCAAAUCCCCGGUGAGUGGUGAGUGGUGAGUGGUAGUGACGAUCCAAUGAUUAGAGGGCCUUGGCAUGUACCUCUCAAUCAUUGAAUCCUCACUGCCGCUCAUUACCUUCGCACAAAGGAUUUUAGAAAAUAAUUCUUGUCCUUGGUGAUGUGAUCACUUUAUAUAUGGUGUUUAGCAUUGUGUUUUGCGGUUGGCUUCUGAUUAUUGAUAAAUAAGUGAUUGCUGUGGAAUGUUCACUACUUACAUCAUAUAUUUUCCCUAUCCUUGCUAUAUAUGUUGGGAGAAAUUACAAGACAUUGAAAAAUUGUAAAACAUGAAAUAAGAAAUAAAUUAGGGACAAACUCUUCCAGGCUCUCUCAUGAUCCUAAGAUGCUUCUCUCUCUCUCUCUCUCUCUCUCUCUCUCUCUCUGUGUUAAUAUGGAUUUUCUUAAAAUGUGUUGUCAUUUUAUCUCGCCAAUGCCAUUGAUUAUAAUUAGAAACUUAAGAAUAAAGUAGAGAGAAUCCCAUUAUGUAGUUUCAAAUAUUUUCAUUAAAAAAUAUAUAAAUUAAACUAGCUUACUAAUGCAUGGUGUAGGUUUGCUUGAGAUGGGUGUAUGAGCAGGGGGUGAGUGUACUUGUGAAAAGCUUUAAAAAGGAAAGGUUGAAGGAGAAUUUUGAGAUCGUUGAUUGGAUGCUAAACAAAGAAGACUUGCAGAAGAUUGAUGGCAUUUCACAACAGAAAGGGUUUCUUGCGGUAGAAUUUAUCUUAGAAGGCCCUUUUAAGUCCCUUGAUGAGUUUUGGGAUGGGGAGAUAUAAUAAUAGAUAUGAUCAUUGCCUUGUAAUAUAUGCUUCUUUAAUGUUGUUUAUUGCAAGCAUAUUUUGAGUCUUGCAAUUUUCUGUUUGUUCCUCGGGAGGAUAACAACUUAGCUUACUCACUCGCAAUGAGGAUCCUACCAUUGUCAUGUCCAAUAAUUUGGCCAAUUUCCAAUUUGUGGAUUUACACUCAGUGUUGUCCAUCAUCCAUGGGUUGUUUAUGUUAGUUUGAAUAAAAUGGCAUACGUGUAGGAUAUGUUGGUUGAUGUGGCUCAAAUUGUUUCAUCAAUGUAGCUCUUUUAUAUUGCAAUAAAGGUUUAAUAAUGGCACAUACAAAGUGUGAAUUGUAAUUCCAACAUAAGUGAAAUUAAAUAGGCAUUGUCCCCCUAUUAAGUGA